Zonotrichia albicollis (white-throated sparrow) is the source of this 521-nucleotide non-coding RNA. NCBI's taxonomy places the organism in Eukaryota, Metazoa, Chordata, Aves, Passeriformes, Passerellidae. The record is from RefSeq and is a predicted model, not a curated record.
UCACUCCUGAGAUUCCAGAGGCACCUUGGAGAGGUUGGGAUAUGGAGGUGUCACUGUCACCCCAGGGAUUCCAGAGGCACCAUCUGACCUUGGAGAAGUUGGGAUAUGGAGGUGUUGCUGUCACUUCAGAGGCAUCAUCUGACCUAGGAGAAGUUGGGAUAUGGAGGCAUUGCUGUCACUCCAGAGGCACCAGUUCACCUUGGAGAAGUUGGGAUAGGGAGAUUUCAUUGUCACCCCAGGGAUUCCAGAGGCACCUUGGAGAAGUUGGGAUAUGGGGGUGUCACUGUCACCCCAGAGAUUCCAGACACAGCAGCUGACCUUGGAGAAGGUGGGAUAGGGAGGCAUUGCUGUCACUCCAGAGGCAGCAGUUCACCUUGGAGAAGUUGGGAUAGGGAGAUUUCAUUGUCACCCCAGGGAUUCCAGAGGCACCUUGGAGAAGUUGGGAUAGGGAGGUGUCACUGUCACUCCUGAGAUUCCAGAGACAGCAGCUGACCUUGGAGGAGUGGGGAUAGGGAGGCAUU